Nymphaea colorata (pocket water lily) is the source of this 923-nucleotide long non-coding RNA. RefSeq lists it as uncharacterized. NCBI's taxonomy places the organism in Eukaryota, Viridiplantae, Streptophyta, Magnoliopsida, Nymphaeales, Nymphaeaceae. The record is from RefSeq and is a predicted model, not a curated record. The transcript is spliced from 3 exons.
CCUAUGCUAUGUUUAGGCAAUGAAGCAUAAUGUUUUUUUGGGUGAACAAAAGAGAAUAAAAGGAAGGAGUAGAGAAUAAGCAAAGCAUUUGUUUAUCAUCUUUACGAGAAGAUAUUGUUGUUUUUGGUUGGUUUGUGUGUAGUUUCAAAAGAAAAACUUUCAUUGAGGACCCACUUCUAAGACCUGCUGCUACCAAUUUUUAGUAUGGCCUUAAUAUUCCUGAAUUUUGUGAUAUAACCAGAUUGGUAGUUAUGAUUUAUCAUCUCGGGAUACAUAACAUUGAUCAUCUUUUUGUUUGGUCCUGAUUGGAAAAUAUUUUUCAAGCACAUGAAAAAAUGAAGAAUGUUAGCACUUGGCAAAUUAGAUGGUUAAGAAAUGGAUGACAGAUGCCAGAAAAUAGAAGCUUGUUCAAGUAAAAAAGAUCAGAGCUAUGAAGGUUCUUUUUGGUGCUAUAUAGAAAAGAUUUUGUAAUGGUGAAUCAGUCACAUAGACUGUCAGAUUAGAUGUUGAAGGAAUUUGCAAUUUCAGCCGUCCAUUUCGGUGAUGUAUGGAAUGCCAGAGACACUGGUCUGUAAACGUAGAUGUCAUCUUGUGCCUGUUCGUGAUGUGGGCAUCAAAGCCUAGUAAAACGUGAUUGUUGAUUGGUGUUCCAGGUGCCUAAAAGCUUCUUUUUACUGUUUCUUUGAUAUAAACAGAGACGUCAACAUUCCACAGAUCAGGGGCUCAUCUCCAAGGAUUCUUGGGUACAGAUUGUGAACACCUGCAUGUCUUGUUUUCUAGUUUCUACCCUCAAGCAUUCAUCUUCUACCCUCAAGCAUUCAUCUUCACUGUAGAUGGUUUGUUGCUGCUGCCAAGAUUGUGAACCUCACAGCAUUCAAGAAUCUUCUCUGUAUAUAAGGAAAACUUCUUUCUCCAUUGUUUGA